This 350-nucleotide ribosomal RNA is filed under the name uncultured bacterium. RNAcentral describes it as "bacterial SSU rRNA". It matches the Rfam family "Bacterial small subunit ribosomal RNA", at positions 8 to 350 of the family's 1533-position model. The record is from RNAcentral.
AGAGUUUGAUCAUGGCUCAGGAUGAACGCUAGCUACAGGCUUAACACAUGCAAGUCGAGGGGCGAGCAUGUUGGUUGCUUGCAACCAACGAUGGCGACCGGCGCACGGGUGAGUAACGCGUAUCCAACCUACCCUUGUCCAGUCGGAUAACCCGUCGAAAGGCGGCCUAACACGAUAUGCGGUUCACAGCAGGCAUCUAACGUGAACGAGAUGUAAAGGAGAAGGAUGGGGAUGCGUCUGAUUAGCUUGUUGGCGGGGUAACGGCCACCAAGGCUACGAUCAGUAGGGGUUCUGAGAGGAAGGUCCCCCACAUUGGAACUGAGACACGGUCCAAACUCCUACGGGAGGCA